Molecule: ribosomal RNA, 205 nt
Filed under: uncultured bacterium
Lineage: Bacteria
Description: partial 16S ribosomal RNA
Rfam family: Bacterial small subunit ribosomal RNA
Source: RNAcentral
UCAGUUCGGACUGGAGUCUGCAACCCGACUCCACGAAGCUGGAUUCGCUAGUAAUCGCGCAUCAGCCACGGCGCGGUGAAUACGUUCCCGGGCCUUGUACACACCGCCCGUCAAGCCAUGGGAGCCGGGGGUACCUGAAGUGCGUAACCGCGAGGAUCGCCCUAGGGUAAAACUGGUGACUGGGGCUAAGUCGUAACAAGGUACC